AUGAAUAGUUUGCUAACAGCAGCUUAUACCUGGGAAGAGGUCCGAAAGGCAUUAUUCCAAAUCGGAGACAUGAAAGCACCGGGGCCGGAUGGGUUACAUGCGGUGUUUUUCAAGAGAUUUUGGCAUAUCUUGAGGGAGGAGCUCACUGAUGAGGUCUUAGAAGCAAUCCACAUGAGGAAAAUACCUGAAGGAUGGAAGCACACAAAUAUUGUGCUAAUCCCAAAGGUUGAAAGUCCAGAGGUAAUUACACAGUUCAGGCCUAUAAGCCUUUGCAAUGUGAUUUGUAAAAUAAUCUCAAAAAUGCUUGCAAACCGACUAAAGAAAGUACUCCCUCAGAUUAUAUCCCCCACUCAAAGCGCUUUUGUGUCAGGGAGGCUUAUAACAGAUAAUGUGUUAAUUUCUUAUGAAUGCUUCCAUGCAAUAAAGAAAAAAACACAUGGUUCUAAUGGGUUUUGUGCGGUAAAGCUGGACAUGAUGAAGGCGUAUGAUCGUGUGGAGUGGGGUUUCCUGAGGAAAAUGAUGGAAAAACUUGGGUUCGAUCCAGGUUGGAUAGAGAUGAUCAUGCAAUGUGUCUCUGCAGUAUAUAAGAUAAGAUUUAAUGGUACAGAAACUGAAGAUAUAUUACCCACUCGAGGUUUGAGGCAAGGAGACCCCUUGUCCCCUUACUUAUUUCUGCUAUGCUCAGAAGGAUUAUCAAGCAUGUUGGCGCAUGAGGAAGAGGUGGGUAGAUUGGAGGGUAUUAGAGUCUGUCGUGAUGCACCAUCCAUCUCUCACUUACUUUUUGCAGAUGACUCUCUCAUACUUAUGAAGGCAAAUGUGGAGAAUGCUAAUGCCUUGAAGAGGGUCCUAGAUGUGUAUUGUGCAAGUUUGGGACAACUUGUUAGCACGGCCAAAUCAAGUGUAUUUUUCAGCCCCAACACAAGUGCAGUCGUGCGGGAAGAGGUUUGCAGAAAUCUUGACAUACUAACAGAAGCUCUCUCUGAUAAAUACCUUGGUCUCCCUACAACUAUAGGUGUGGACAGAAGUGAUUGUUUUCAACACUUGAUUGACCGAAUUUGUCAGAGAAUUAAAGGGUGGAAGGAAAAAGUAUUGUUAGUCCAAGGGAAGGAAAUUUUGUUGAAAGCAGUGGCCCAAUCAAUCCCCUCAUAUGCUAUGUCAGUGUUUAAACUGCCAAAGGGAAUCUGUAAAGCAAUAACAGAUGAACUGGCAGGGUUUUGGUGGGGGGAUGGUAAGGAGAAGAGAAGGAUGCAUUGGUUCACAUGGUGGAAAUUGUGCAUGCCAAAGAGGAAAGGAGGAUUGGGGUUCAGAGACCUACACAGUUUUAACCUUACUUUACUAGCAAAACAGUGUUGGCGACUACUCCAGAAUCCAGAAUCAUUGUGUGCUCAAGUUCUUAGUGCUAAAUAUUAUCCUGAUGGAAAUAUAUUGAAUGCAGGGCCGAAGAAGGGUUCCUCCUUCACUUGGCAGAGCAUUGUUGCGGGUAUCCAAACGUUCAAAAGAGGAUGCAUUUGGAGAGUUGGUACGGGAACACAGAUCAAUAUUUGGCAAGACCUGUGGAUACCUUCAAGUGAGUCCAGGAAAAUUAUAACACCGCGAGGCUCCACAAUGUUGACAAAAGUGGAAGAGUUAAUUGACCCACAUACCGGGCAGUGGGAUGAGGUACUGAUUCGCGAUGUUUUUUGGCCGGUGGAUUGA
Molecule: ribosomal RNA, 1695 nt
Filed under: Triticum aestivum (bread wheat)
Lineage: Eukaryota; Viridiplantae; Streptophyta; Magnoliopsida; Poales; Poaceae
Description: partial small subunit ribosomal RNA
Source: RNAcentral